RNAcentral lists this microRNA (22 nucleotides) under Pristionchus pacificus. Its description in RNAcentral is "ppc-miR-8267-3p". Lineage: Eukaryota; Metazoa; Nematoda; Chromadorea; Rhabditida; Neodiplogasteridae. The record is from miRBase by way of RNAcentral.
UCAUGACUCUAGAAGAAUCAGC